GACGAACGCUGGCGGCGUGCCUAAUACAUGCAAGUCGAGCGGACUUUCAAGAAGCUUGCUUUUUGAAAGUUAGCGGCGGACGGGUGAAUAACACGUGGGCAACCUGCCUGUAAGACGAGGAUAACUCCGGGAAACCGGGGCUAAUACCGGAUAAUAUCUUUCUUCGCAUGAAGGAAGGUUGAAAGGCGGCGCAAGCUGCCGCUUGCAGAUGUGCCCGCGGCGCAUUAGCUAGUUGGUGAGGUAACGGCUCACCAAGGCGACGAUGCGUAGCCGACCUGAGAGGGUGAUCGGCCACACUGGGACUGAGACACGGCCCAGACUCCUACGGGAGGCAGCAGUAGGGAAUCUUCCGCAAUGGACGAAAGUCUGACGGAGCAACGCCGCGUGAGCGAAGAAGGUCUUCGGAUCGUAAAGCUCUGUUGUCAGGGAAGAACAAGUACCGUUCGAAUAGGGCGGUACCUUGACGGUACCUGACCAGAAAGCCACGGCUAACUACGUGCCAGCCGCCGCGGUAA
Molecule: ribosomal RNA, 515 nt
Filed under: uncultured bacterium
Lineage: Bacteria
Description: partial 16S ribosomal RNA
Rfam family: Bacterial small subunit ribosomal RNA
Source: RNAcentral